UGGUGGUAGUAGCAAAUA
RNAcentral lists this non-coding RNA (18 nucleotides) under Arabidopsis thaliana (thale cress). The record is from RNAcentral. RNAcentral also lists the same sequence under 1 other name. Lineage: Eukaryota; Viridiplantae; Streptophyta; Magnoliopsida; Brassicales; Brassicaceae.